RNAcentral lists this ribosomal RNA (230 nucleotides) under uncultured bacterium. RNAcentral's name for it is "partial 16S ribosomal RNA". It matches the Rfam family "Bacterial small subunit ribosomal RNA", at positions 562 to 791 of the family's 1533-position model. The record is from RNAcentral.
AAAGGGUGCGUAGGCGGCCUGUUAAGUCAGGGGUGAAAGACGGUAGCUCAACUAUCGCAGUGCCCUUGAUACUGAUGGGCUUGAAUGAACUAGAGGUAGGCGGAAUGAGACAAGUAGCGGUGAAAUGCAUAGAUAUGUCUCAGAACACCGAUUGCGAAGGCAGCUUACUAUGGUCUUAUUGACGCUGAGGCACGAAAGCGUGGGGAUCAAACAGGAUUAGAUACCCUUGU